RNAcentral lists this transfer RNA (72 nucleotides) under Candidatus Pacearchaeota archaeon. RNAcentral describes it as "tRNA-Met". It matches the Rfam family "tRNA". Rfam says of the family: Transfer RNA (tRNA) molecules are approximately 80 nucleotides in length. Lineage: Archaea; Nanobdellati. The record is from RNAcentral.
GGCUGCAUAGUUCAGCGGUAGAACGCCUGUCUCAUGAGCAGGAAGUCCCAGGUUCAACUCCUGGUGCAGCCA